RNA transcript from Camelus dromedarius (Arabian camel), 8313 nucleotides. It is a transcript of the gene named phosphodiesterase 7A, with no coding region annotated. The transcript has 20 exons. Lineage: Eukaryota; Metazoa; Chordata; Mammalia; Artiodactyla; Camelidae. The record is from RefSeq and is a predicted model, not a curated record.
AAACACAGCGGUGACCCCGCGGUCAGGGCUAAGCGCUGCGAGUGGGCCGAGUGCUUCGGGUUUCUGGGGUGGAAAGGCCGGAAUCGCGCCUCUCGCGUAGGCUGACCCCACCACCCUCCCUCCGCGCGCCGCAAAGCCAGAGUUUAGCGAUAAGGGGAAUGUCCCCAAACGGUGGGGCCUCAUGCGCACGCGCCUCGGGUCGGGGGCAGAGAGGUGGAGAGCUGGGGGUGCAGCAAGAUGAGGAUUGGAAGGGAAGGAGGACAGAGUUGGCGGGAGGAGACGGUGACAGAGCUCCAGGGUGCCGCACAGGAGGAGAGCGACUCGACCCCUUGGCCGCUAGCGGGUCUCCCUGGGCGCUGCGGCGGCGCGAGGCGCGGGGCCUGCGGCGCGGCGUCGUGACGUCACGGUGGCGGCGGCCGUGGUUGGCGCAGGGUCCGCGGCUGCAAAGUGUGAAUUACGCCGGGCUCGCGCCGGCGGCGGAGUGAAGUCAGGCUCCGGGGGAGGGGAGGGGCAGGACCGCGGCGGCGGCGGCCGGAGCUGGUGGCUGCACCCGAGCUCCGCGUGCUUUGGGUCUCGCCGUGCCUCCAGCGUUUUUUCUUGCACCGCUUUACUCUGUCCUUGUUCCGCUCCUCCCGGAUCCUCUCCUCUCGGCCGAAGAGUCUUGGGGCGCCCGACUCCCCCCUCUUACUUUGCCUGUGCUGCCCCCGCUUGCACCCCGAAGCCGGGCGCGCGGUGGUCCUCGUAACUGUCGCGGCGGCCGCCGCAGCGCCUUCCCGCCGGCUGCCCGACCGGAGUGUUGGGGUGGGGGAGGCGUGAGCGCGGCUUCCCGGCCCGGGGUCGCCGCUCGCCCGCCCUGCCCCCGCCUCGGCCUGGCGCCCCCGAGCCGCGGCCCCUUACCAACGCAGGGGCCGGCGGCCGCGGCAGGGCGGGCGCCGCGCGGGGGCAGGGCGGGCUUAUUCAAUGGAAGUAUGUUACCAGCUGCCGGUGCUGCCCCUGGACAGGCCGGUCCCCCAGCACGUCCUCAGCCGCCGAGGAGCCAUCAGCUUCAGCUCCAGCUCCGCGCUCUUCGGCUGCCCCAAUCCCCGGCAGCUCUCACAGAGGCGGGGAGCUAUUUCCUAUGACAGCUCUGAUCAGACCGCAUUGUACAUUCGUAUGCUAGGAGAUGUACGCGUAAGGAGUCGAGCAGGAUUUGAAUCAGAAAGAAGAGGUUCUCACCCGUAUAUUGAUUUUCGUAUUUUUCAUGCUCCAUCUGAAAUUGAAGUUUCUGUGUCUGCGAGGAAUAUCAGAAGAUUACUAAGUUUCCAGCGGUAUCUUAGAUCUUCACGCUUUUUUCGUGGUACUACCGUUUCAAAUUCUCUAAACAUUUUAGAUGAUGAUUAUAAUGGACAAGCCAAGUGUAUGCUGGAAAAAGUUGGAAAUUGGAAUUUUGAUAUCUUUCUAUUUGAUAGACUAACAAAUGGAAAUAGCCUAGUAAGUUUAACCUUCCAUUUAUUCAAUCUUCAUGGAUUAAUUGAGUACUUCCAUUUAGAUAUGAUGAAACUUCGUAGAUUUUUAGUUAUGAUUCAAGAGGAUUACCACAGUCAGAACCCUUACCACAAUGCCGUCCACGCUGCAGAUGUUACUCAGGCCAUGCACUGUUACUUAAAGGAACCUAAGCUUGCCAACUCUGUAACUCCUUGGGACAUCUUGCUCAGCUUAAUUGCAGCUGCCACUCAUGAUCUGGAUCAUCCAGGUGUUAAUCAACCUUUCCUUAUUAAAACGAACCAUUACUUGGCAACUUUAUACAAGAAUACCUCAGUACUGGAAAAUCACCACUGGAGAUCUGCAGUGGGAUUAUUGAGAGAAUCUGGUUUAUUCUCACAUAUGCCAUUAGAAAGCAGGCAACAGAUGGAGGCUCAGAUAGGCGCUCUGAUACUGGCCACAGACAUCAGCCGCCAGAACGAGUACCUGUCCUUGUUCAGGGCCCAUCUGGACAGAGGCGACUUACGCCUGGAAGACGCCAGGCAUAGGCAUUUGGUUUUACAGAUGGCUUUGAAAUGUGCUGAUAUUUGUAACCCAUGUCGGACUUGGGAAUUAAGCAAGCAGUGGAGUGAAAAAGUAACAGAGGAAUUCUUCCACCAAGGAGAUAUAGAAAAAAAGUAUCAUUUGGGUGUGAGUCCACUUUGUGAUCGUCAGACUGAAUCUAUUGCCAACAUCCAGAUUGCACAUCUCGGUUUGGACUAGCCACGUUUCAAGUGCCCAGUCUCCACAUGGGCUUGUGGCCACCAUGCUAGACAGCUGGGUACAGAAGUCUGAUGGUGGCAGAGCUGAGGGUGACCUGGGGAAGGUUAACUGGCCACUUACAUGAGGCAGCAUCACCGUGGCAGAUCUCAUGCGUCUGGAAUCUGAUAAGGAUCCAACCCACUCACAGACCUAGAAUCUCAGCACACGGAGGGUGGAACUACCUCACAGCAAACUUACAUUAACCAAGCUCACGGCAGAUCUUCUUGGGAAGCUAAGUUCUGAUCAGCCAGUUACUUGGUGAACAUGGAUUCUGAGCUUGGGGAACAAGCUGCCCCAUGCAUCCUAUGGGGAUGCUCCUGCUGACACUCGUGUCUGUGGACCAGGGCUCCCAGGACGAUGCUGGAGGUUCUCUGCCGGCAUCUGCUCCUCCACGUCCGCUUCUGUUUGGCAUGUCCAGUAGAUGCCAGACUGUCAGCCUGUCUCAGCUAUCAGUCUACCAUUACAGAAAAUUAUGUUGAAACCAGUCUGUCUGUGCUGAAGUCAUGUGGUACCAGUAUCUGAGUUGCUGUUAUGGGCAGAGCACUGCACUGGAUGUAAUGAAGGUAUAAAUAAUUGCAGAACAUGAUCUCUGUUCUCAAAACCUUUGGGUGACAAGAUGAUGUGUGAAAAGCAUUUGUUACAUAAUAUGGCAGGUUUCUAUAUUGUACAAAAUGAGUGCAAAGUGUUGGGAGCUGUUGAGAAUGAAUGAUUUUGUUGGGUUCAUGUUGAAAAUGACACCAUUUCCAGUAAUUCUUGACUUUUAUUAUUAAUAUCCUUGACUGGUAAAAAUCAUUUAGCUUUCAAAUUUGAUUCUAAAAUACAAGUCUUAGAUGUUCAGUAUGUAAAAUACUUCUCAAUCACAAUCACAUUUUUUACUCCUUUACUACUUUCUAAGUCAUCCUGAAACCCGUGUGUUUAAUAUUAGAGUAUUUCUAGCUGUAACAUAAAACUGGAGCACACUGUUGACACUUUCCACUGGUACCAUCAGCAGUCUUGUUAACAUAGUUCAUCUUAUAUUACAUUUACCUUUGAGCUCUACAUUGAGCUUUUUGAGCAUAAAUUUGAAGUGUUUCUUUACUGUUGAGCCAUGUCCUGUAAAGAACCAGGAGGCUGGCUGCAUGGUAUCCCCCCGUUAUAGCUUAGCUGAAAUUUGUAUAAGUUCUAUAUGUAAACUUUUUUGAGGAAAGUAUCGUAAAGGGAUGUGUUUUAAGAUCCUAGGUGAACAUCUGCAGAAAACAGGACUUUUGAAUUUCCGUCUAAGAAUCAUCACAAGAUAGGGAUUAGUUUUUUCCAUGACAGGGAGCAGAGGCUCACUCAGAUAAGUGCAUGUUAACUGGGGACUUUAUCUUGAAGAUUCGUGUUCAUAACAGACGAGCCCUUGUGAAGGCUGGAGGAGCAGAAGCUGGGGUCUGAGCAUCCUGAGAUGUUGCUUUUUGCUGCAUCUGCUGCUUUCUCCCACACUCCUGGUCCUUUUCCCGAAUCUUCUCUACCUUGGAGUGUCUGCUUAGAAAGGCCAGGAUAGUGUAGUUUCUAAAAGUGUUGUCUUUGUGGCUAGAUGGGCUGGGUUUGGGUCUUUCGUCAUGUAAAGCCAGUCACCCAGUCUUUUCGGUGGCUUCCUAACCUGUAAAACAGCCUUGUUCAUUUCUUCAUAAUCUGCUUUGUAUGAACUGCCCGUGGACACUUGUACCUCAUGACAUCUUUAUUUGAGCUCCAGAUACCAACUGCCCCCCUUCUCAGGGUUUCCUCUUCAAAUUCCCAAGGGAGAAUCUGAUCGGACCAGCUAACCAAGGCUGCAUCCCGGGUCACAGACCAGUCUCUGCGUCACCAGGUGUUCUCCUUGCAGAGGGAAGGUCAGAGAGCCUGGACGACCGGACCCCAGACCGGUGUCUCAUAUGCACCCCCUCCCUCACGGCUAACACAGCUGUCGUUACAGAAGCGCCUCCCCCCACGCCUCCACCUCAUCCUUUCUCGUCCUUUGAUGACCAGGGUGACUGGCUAAGGAAGAGGGACGGUGACGAGGCAGCAGGAGCAGAAGGCUGCUGCUCACAGCUGUGGUAGAAAUCCUGUCAUGAAGUCUUUGUCCCCAAAGUAAGGCUUUUCCAGCUAGGAGAGCAGGUCUGAGGGGCUGGACGGCCCUGGAACAGCCACGGCUCCCUGGAUGGAGGGUGAGGCACUGUUGGAUCCUCUUCCAUUUACCUUCCUGAGCGCGUCUGAGUUGCUCGGGUUACACUCCGGGCUUAUGGAAGGCUCUCUCUCUGUGACCUUUAGAAGAGGCUGGAGCGUCUACCAGAGAGGAGGUUGAGAAGCUAGAGGGACGUUAUUAAGGCUUCCAGCCCCAUGAAGUGGACUAAGGACAACAGUCUCAGAGGAGAACAUACAAGAUUUCCAGAUCCUUCUGCGGUUAUGCUGUCAGAUCUCAAGUGAUCGCACUAGUGCCAGUGAAGAACUAGCUUGCAAGGGAGAACUAACCAUGUUAGGAAGCAGGUUCGGGGGUAGCUCAGAAGAACGCUGAUGCUCCAGGAUGAGGAGGGGCAGAGGGGUUAGGAAUGGCGGAAGGCUCACGGGAAGUAUUGUGACAGUGAGAACGAUAUGGUCACCAGCUGCCUCAUUCUGCCUGACAACCCCAGAGCUGCUGUUACUGGGCAACGCCUGCAAGUUUAAACUUCUCUCUCCCAGAUCUGACCCACAGCGGGGACUUCUGUUUUCAGAGAGGUUAUUGGAGGAUGAUUUCCCCAAACUCUUGUUUCUAAUAGUAGUUCCCUCAUAUUGUCUUCCUUCACCACUAAGACACAGACUCACCGGAAUUCUUAAUACAGCAGGAGGACAGAAGGGCCUAUGACUGGGAGGACAACCAGAAUGAAAGCCUGUGAGACCCGCUGCUCCACUCCAGCCCUGUGCACAGAUGACACCUUUUCCAGGUGCCAGGGACCACGUCUCCUGGGAGAAAUCAGUCCACUGAGAACUAGUGCCCUCAUGUGAAACAAUAUCUGCAAGUGGGGAAAAGUUUGUGUUUGAUCAGAGAUCAUAAUAUGUGGAAUCAAAGAAACAAAAGUUUGAGUCCUGGACUACCCAAACCUGGCGCGGCUUCCCGCCCUCGGUUACCUUCCUUAUCUUGGAGCACUGGCCCAAAUUCAAUACUGAUACAAAUACGAAUUUCUUAGGCGGUCAAGGUAUGUCUAUCAGGGGAAUUUUCUGGAUUUCUUUUUAAGGCAGAAUUUUUAAACCAUAUAAAACAGUGAGAAACAAUGUGCAUUGACAACGUGUAAAAUAAGCCACAGUUCAAAUUUUAGGUGAAUAACCAAACCAUGUACAUUAACUUCAACUAUUAUCUGCUAUUAUUUAGAACAUUGCACAUAUUUUCAGUAACCUAACAGUGAAUGUCUGUUCUUCCCAUCUCUGAAUCCCACCCCCCAGGAAGUACAACUUCCCCCUGCCCCCACUAGAUUUAAAUAGUAAAUCCAAAUAUGUUUUCAUGGUAGUCUGACUAACUAUAACUGAGUUUAGCAGAAAUACAGAAAAUCAUGAAGACUUAUGAAGCAUUUAAAAAUGAUCACUUGUCACAAUUCCUUAGAAGCCCUGGCUGAGAAAGGCAACUCUCCACUCCUAGUAGCACUACAGUUUAUGUUGCACAAUGUAACGCAACAGAACAGCAUUCUGACCAAUGAUAAGCAGCUUACAGGAAAUUCUUUUGCCUAUUCAGUGUUCCACUAUAAAGCUACAGUUUUUGACAAUAUUAAAAAUUUUUAAACUCCAUUAUGCUGACAUUUCCAGAAGUAUUAACUUAGUAACAAGUCAUUUUGUGAUGCCAUUUAUUAAACUGAAAGAAAAAAAGAUGGUACAUUCUGGUUUUUACUUAAAAAGUAAUUUAAUUCAAUAAUUUGAUUCCUCACUAUUGGAAAACUACGUUCCCUUCCUCAGCACUGGGUGGCACUGAGGCGAGAACAGCUUUCACGAUCCUUGACGUUCCUUCAUGGAGUUUCAGCAGCGAACAUUAUCCAGUUCCCACUCAAACCCCACCUCCGAGACAAUGUGAGGAAGAAUCUAAAAUGAAAGUUCUGUUCAAGGCAAGAAGACACUACAGUCUCAAACAUGUCACUCCAACAACUUGGUUGUGCAGCUGUGCAGAAACGAUCGCUGAGAAUGAACGACACCAGCAGCACCCUCAUCACUGCCUCUGCUAAAUGUCAGGACACAGUUGAAUGUCUUGCAAAACGCAGGUGCACAGCAGUGGACCACCAGCUGCCCCAGAGAGAGGCCUGCCCAGCACUCACCAACACUGUUCCGGAGGUGGCCUCGGAUUCAGACUUUGGAAUUCCUUUUUCAACUUCACUUUGGCUCUCACUUCGAUACCGAGUUGGCUUAUACUGAGUCGAGCCAGGACUCGGGAACAACACGAGGAAACACCACCACUACGUGCCAGCAGGUUCAUGGGCUAGGAUUUCAACACCACGGUUUCUUCUCCCGAGUGACAGUGCCACACAGAAGCAACAGUAUUAGACCAAGAGUCAGACGACCUGAAUUCAGUUUCCACUCUGGGCAAGAGGAAGAGAAGUGACCGUUAAGUAGCUGCAAUGUGCUGAAGACAUUUCAUAUAAUUUGCACAUUUACUCCCACGUAACUUCGUAACACAGGGCAGCUGUCCUCACUGCAGAGCAGACCUGGGAGGUGGAAGGGCCAAGCACCCGCCGCAGAACACGCAGGGUCACGAUUUUGGCAAUCUGAGCUCUGAGAGCAGCGAGUUCAUUUUCGAGGGCACAGAUCUUCUGCAGUGCCUCCUCGUUCGCCAGCGUCGUGCUCUGCAGCUGACACUCCUUUGGAGACAGGUCUGGUAAGGAAAACUGCCUGCUUGGGGGCUUCUCAAGGAAAGGAAGGUCAUCCUGAAGGGGCUGCCUUGACCUGACCUGUGUCCUGCAAGGAAGACAGAAGGCUGGCUGUCACAGGCUUUGUCAGGGAAUACAAUCAAUCAUUUCAAAGUUAAUCAGAACCUAACAUCUGAGAACCACUUUUCAGGCUGACCGUCCAUAAAGCCCUUGCUGUAAGUUUCAACAACAAAGCACUUGUCAACCUCACGCAGGAACGCGCCAGGCCAGAUUUCUUGCUGCCAUCAUUCUUCUUAAUCUCCACACAAUACACACAAGCCUGCACUACAAGAGGCAACACAGCUUCCAGCAGUGUCUUUGCUAAUUCACGUUUUGUUUUGAUGGUAUGAACUAAGGUGAAGAAACUUUUAAUGAUAAACUAAUUACUGGUUAUGUGUGACAAAUCAAAUCAGUAAUCUCUUAGCCCUUCCCCAGGGUCUUGGCUUCUACCCUUGGAUGUCAGUGUUUUCCACAUGUGAUAGAAUGUACUAAAUUGUAAGACAUACUGUAACAAUAUGGGCCAAAUUACAGCGUAAGAAACUACAAAGGAGAAAAAAGUAAUCAUUAUAGUGGAACUCAUGCAGUAACUAUAUACAUGAUCUCAUUUUCACUUGGGUGUUUAAAAAAAAAAAAAAGGCUUUUCUAACAUGCAUUGCUCCACAGCUCUAUAUUGAAGUCUUUGGGGGGUGAGAAUAAAGUUCAGAUUCCUUUUCAGUUGUCAAUUUCUAUACUUACCAUUUCCUCCUAUUUUCUACAAUUAGGUUUUUCCAGCCUCUAAUCCGUUUUUUUUUCUUCCAGCUUUACCAAGGUAUAACUGACACAUGCUGUAUGUAGUUAAGGUGUACAGCAUGAUUUGAUGUGUGUAUACAUUUUGAAAUAAUCACAACAAUCAGGUUAACAUAUCCCAGUUUCCUUCCAUUUCAUGGUCAUGUGACCAAGUGCUGACUGACAAGCUGGAGGCAGAACGUGGGUGAGCCGCCAGGAAGGCCGCUCCAGGAGAAAGCGCGUCCUUUCAUCUCUAGCCCCACGAGCCUCCGAGAGUCAAGCUAACCUUGACGUGAAAGCCAGUGCUAAGGAUGGCAGAGAGCCCGGCUGGGUCCCUAGGGACACAGUGGAGCCACUGUCAGCUUCAUACUCUCCACUCUGGAUGUUUCUGACUUGAGAGAAAAAUAAACUUCUUCAUUGUUUUUGA